This 227-nucleotide small nucleolar RNA is filed under the name Actinia tenebrosa (Australian red waratah sea anemone). RNAcentral's name for it is "small nucleolar RNA SNORA73 family". It matches the Rfam family "Small nucleolar RNA SNORA73 family". From Rfam's summary of the family: U17 (SNORA73A and SNORA73B) also known as E1 belongs to the H/ACA class of small nucleolar RNAs (snoRNAs). Vertebrate U17 is intron-encoded and ranges in length from 200-230 nucleotides, longer than most snoRNAs. The record is from Rfam by way of RNAcentral. Lineage: Eukaryota; Metazoa; Cnidaria; Anthozoa; Actiniaria; Actiniidae.
CCAACGUGACAUCCAAUAGGUUGGCCCCUAUUGGCUCUGUCUUAAUGGUGUAUGGGAGCUGAGUGUCUAGUACACAUCUUACUGAUGUCUAUUCCCUUACCAUGGCGUUGGAGAUUAAAACCAUCCCCAGUUAAUUCUGGUAUGGUGUGGUGUACUGCAUAUUCCUUGUGCUUCCUAGAGUCAUUCUGUGACCUUUACUAGGGAGAUAAACCAUGCAGUGAACAGUC